Molecule: ribosomal RNA, 253 nt
Filed under: uncultured bacterium
Lineage: Bacteria
Description: partial 16S ribosomal RNA
Rfam family: Bacterial small subunit ribosomal RNA
Source: RNAcentral
UACGUAGGGUGCGGGCGUUGUCCGGAAUUAUUGGGCGUAAAGGGCUCGUAGGCGGUUUGUCGCGUCGGGAGUGAAAACCUUGGGCUUAACUCAGGGCUUGCUUUCGAUACGGGCAGACUAGAGGUAGGUAGGGGAGAACGGAAUUCCUGGUGUAGCGGUGAAAUGCGCAGAUAUCAGGAGGAACACCGGUGGCGAAGGCGGUUCUCUGGGCCUUACCUGACGCUGAGGAGCGAAAGCAUGGGGAGCAAACAGG